AGCUAAUCUGAUGGGGACUUGGAGAACUUUUGUGUCUAGCUACAGGAUUGUAAAUGCACCAAUCAGCACUCUGUGUCUAGCUAAAGGUUUGUAAAUGCACCAAUCAGCACUCUGUCAAAACGGACCAAUCAGUUCUCUGAAAAACGGACCAAUCAGCUCUCUGUAAAGUGGACCAGUCAGCUCUCUGUGAAAUGGACCAAUCAGCAGGAUGUGGGUAGGGCCGGACAAGGGGAUAAAAACAGGCCACGCGAGCUAGCUGCUGCAGCCUGUUUGGGUCUGCCUUCCUUUGAGGGGGGCUUUGUUCUUUUGCUCUUGGCAAUAAAUCUUGCUGUUCCUUGGUCUUUGGGUGUGUGCCAUUACUGGGGAGGUCUGCAGCUUCACUCCUGAGGCCUUUACAACUGAGGUGGGUGAGACAAGGAACCCACCACAAACCCAGCGGGAGGGAGGAACAACUCCAGAUGCACUUCCUUAAGAGUUGUAAUGCUCACCGCAAAGGUGUGCAGCUUCACUCCUGAAGCUAGCGAGACCACGAACCCGCCAGAAGGAAGAAACUCUGAACACGUCUGAACAUCAGAAGGAACAAAUUACGGACACACCAUCUUUAAGAACUGUAACACUCACCGCAAGGGUCCGUGGCUUCAUUCUUGAAGUCAGCCAGCGAGACCAAGAACCCGCCAAUUCCGGACACACUAAGACAUCAGGAGGGCACUGUAUUGCCAGGUCCCUGGAUGUGGUGUGAAGACUGUUCUCUACAAAACUCUAGAAGGCACGAUUUUCAUCAGAUUCACAGCCAGCGUGGCCAUACACAUGUCCAUAGAGGUGAGGGGGAAAAAGAAACCACUCAGGUUAUUACUGGUGGCAGAGCUGGAUCAUUAACCACAAGCGCGAUGAAUAUGGCAAGUAAAGCAUUUCAAGCAACAACUGCAACUCAUGAAAGUGCCACAAGUUAUGAGAGAACUAACAUUCAGAAAAUUAGUUCAUCAAAGUUGGAACUUUCAUUGAAAGUGUGAGAAACGACAAAGAAAAUCAGCUGUCUACAGGAUCUGGGACACCAUCACGAUGCUCAUUCCUAAAGUGGCCAUUCACAAAAUGACUUUGGCAGAAAACAGAAUCUUUUAGAAAACAGCUUCAGGAAGUCAUUUAAUUUGAAGGAAAAUAAUCGCUUCUCAAUCUGCACCGUCCACCGUGCACCGUGCACCGUGCACCGUAGGACAAGAAAGAAU
Molecule: long non-coding RNA, 1223 nt
Filed under: Pan paniscus (pygmy chimpanzee)
Lineage: Eukaryota; Metazoa; Chordata; Mammalia; Primates; Hominidae
Description: lncRNA (ENSPPAG00000044923.1)
Source: RNAcentral